UAAUCCCGCUGUGUCAGGAGUCUGACAAAGCUGUUGAGACUCUGUCACAAGAAUUCUUUGAGUCAAUAAAGCAAGGUCUGCCUCCCUGGUGGUAGCCUACCAUAGCCCUGCAAUUUAAGGUCAGCACAGACAACACGAGCCAACCCCCAACUUUUUAAAAAGAGUCUGAGAAUGUAUUGAAAUAUUCAUUAACUGACUGGUACCUGAUCUAUAUAGGAAGAACAUGGUAUUCAGUAAAGCUGUAUGUAUAGAAUGUUGUGUAUAUACCAUGAUGGUUCAUACUUGGUUUUACAUCAAAUUGUUUUGCAUUGUCUUUGAUAGAUUAGAAAGGGCAAAGAAAUUACAAGAACAACGAGAAAAGGAAAUGGUUGAAAAACAAAAACAACAAGAAAUGGCUGCAGCAGCUGCAGCCACUGGAGGUUCUGUUCUUAAUGUUGCUGCACUCUUGGCAUCGGGAACGCAAGUUACUCCUCAGAUAGCUAUGGCAGCUCAAAUGGCAGCCCUGCAAGCUAAGGCCUUGGCAGAGACUGGCAUAGCUGUGCCCAGCUACUAUAACCCAGCAGCUGUGAAUCCCAUGAAAUUUGCUGAGCAAGAGAAAAAGAGGAAAAUGCUCUGGCAAGGCAAGAAAGAAGGCGUAAGUUCUUGUCUCCUUGUCAUGUCAACACUACUAGUUAAUUUCAUAAAAACAAGCUGAGAUUGGGGAUUUAGCUCAGUGGUAGAGUGCUUGCCUAGCAAGCGCAAGGCCCUGGGUUCAGUCCCCAGCUCCAGAAAAAAGAAAAAACAAAACAAAAUAAAAACAAGCUGAAAUGAAAGCUAUGGUUUCCAAGAACAACUUUUAUAAUAGUCAAGUUUGCAGUGGUUACUUAAAAUUGAAAAUGUGGGUGUUGGGGAUUUAGCUCAGUGGUAGAGCGCUUGUCUAGCAAGCGCAAGGCCCUGGGUUCGGUGCCCAGCUCCGGAAAAAAAGAAGAAAAAAAAUUGAAAAUG
RNAcentral lists this long non-coding RNA (984 nucleotides) under Rattus norvegicus (Norway rat). RNAcentral describes it as "long non-coding RNA NONRATT007496". The stretch from base 699 to 761 matches the Rfam family "tRNA". Lineage: Eukaryota; Metazoa; Chordata; Mammalia; Rodentia; Muridae. The record is from RNAcentral.